RNAcentral lists this ribosomal RNA (1030 nucleotides) under uncultured bacterium. RNAcentral describes it as "bacterial SSU rRNA". It matches the Rfam family "Bacterial small subunit ribosomal RNA". The record is from RNAcentral.
AGAGUUUGAUCAUGGCUCAGAAUCAACGCUGGCGGCGUGCCUAACACAUGCAAGUCGAACGCGAAAGGGGCUUCGGCCCUGAGUAGAGUGGCAAACGGGUGAGUAACACGUGGGUGACCUGCCUCAGAGUGGGGGAUAACGUCCCGAAAGGGACGCUAAUACCGCAUAACAUCCUGCCUUUGGAAAGGCGGAGAUCAAAGCCGGGGAUCGCAAGACCUGGCGCUUGGAGAGGGGCCCGCGUCUGAUUAGCUAGUUGGUAGGGUAAUGGCCUACCAAGGCGACGAUCAGUAUCCGGCCUGAGAGGGCGGACGGACACACUGGGACUGAGACACGGCCCAGACUCCUACGGGAGGCAGCAGUGGGGAAUUGUUCGCAAUGGGCGCAAGCCCGACGACGCAACGCCGCGUGGAGGAUGAAGAUCUUCGGGUCGUAAACUCCUGUCGAGCGGGACGAACACUUAUCCGGAUAAUACCUGGAUAGGCUGACGGUACCGCUAAAGGAAGCCCCGGCUAACUCCGUGCCAGCAGCCGCGGUAAUACGGGGGGGGCAAGCGUUGUUCGGAAUUACUGGGCGUAAAGGGCUCGUAGGCGGCCAACUAAGUCAGACGUGAAAUCCCCAGGCUCAACCUGGGAACUGCGUCUGAUACUGGAUGGCUUGAAUCCGGGAGAGGGAUGCAGAAUUCCAGGCGUAGCGGUGAAAUGCGUAGAUAUCUGGAGGAAUACCGGUGGCGAAAGCGGCAUCCUGGACCGGCAUUGACGCUGAGGAGCGAAAGCCAGGGGAGCAAACGGGAUUAGAUACCCCGGUAGUCCUGCCCUAAACGAUGAAUGCUUGGUGUAACGGGUAUCGAUCCCUGUUGUGCCGAAGCUAACGCAUUAAGCAUUCGCCUGUGAGUACGGUCGCAAGGCUGAACUCAAGGAUGACGGAUCGUCGACUGCAGCAUGCAGCUGCACUGACGUCGUUUACACGUCUGACUGCAAACCUGCGUACCCACUAUCGCUGCAGCACAUCCCCUUCGCAGCUGGCGUAAUAG